This 21026-nucleotide long non-coding RNA is filed under the name Populus tremula. Its description in RNAcentral is "long non-coding RNA (PTRE_LNC002414)". Lineage: Eukaryota; Viridiplantae; Streptophyta; Magnoliopsida; Malpighiales; Salicaceae. The record is from RNAcentral.
CCUCAAGCGACAAAUAAAAGAUGUCGAAAGACAACUUUCAAUUAGGAAAACAAAGUUACCAAACCUGCGCAGCAAUUCUCCCCAGCCUAAUCUGAGUGAGAAGAAACGUUUGGCCCCAAAAUCUGCUGCUUCUGCCUCUGUCCUCUCAUCCAAAUCUGUCUCUGCCACUAAACCUGCUCUCAAUUCCCCGAUGGCUGCCUGUACUGCUACCUCAACUGCUCCCAUCACAGUCACCUCCCUCUCUCCAACUGUUGCCAUGUUUGCUUCCCCAGUCACUGUCACCUCUCUUGCCCCAACUACUUCCGCUAUUGCUAUUCCAGUCGUCCCUGUGAUUGUUACUUCUUCCUCCGCGACAGCUGCAGCCGCUGUUACCCCAAUAGCAGUCACCUCUCCCGCCUCUACUGCAUCCAUUACUGCCUCCACUACCCGAAGUACAGUUGUCUCCCCUUCCUCAAGCAGACCUUCUGGCUCAAUCCCCAAGGCUGAACCACAAUACCAGGGUGGAAAUAAACGCUGUCAAGCGCAGUACCAGGGCAGUGAUAAGCACCCGCACCCUCAAGAACAACACCAGAGUGGAAAUAAGCGCCCUCGGAUUGCUAAAUCACCAGAGGUUCCUCUAAGAGCACCAUCACUUCAAAACACUGGCUUUGCACAGUCGGUGCCUGUCCCUCAUCAGCGAGCAGAAGGUCCUUCUAUAAAUCAAAAUCCAUCUGGCGGACACUACAACUGUGCUGGUUAUCGCCCACCAAACCCACAGAUGAGCUCCCAUUAUAAUUAUGGAUAUCCAUAUUAUCAUGAGAACACAUUUGGAAAACCUGGCUAUGACAGUGCUGCCCCCUUUCAGCGGCCAUAGAAUGUUACAUGAAACUCUUGAUGACAUGGGGCUUGUUCAAGUGGGUGAGGAAUUUCUUAAAAUCACCACGGUGGUCAACAAACAGCUGAGUAAAAGCUUGAAGCAAAUUAGCAAUUUAGCGACAAUUCCUUUUGGUAUUCUAGUAGCUUAUAGCUAGUUAACCUUAUAUUCUAGGACUUUGAUGCCUUUGCUCAAAGAUUCCAACGUGCCAAGAAGAUUAAACUUUUUGCAGGUGUGGUUCCACAUAAUGUUAAUAGUUAUUUUUUGCCUUGUAUGGUAGUCUUAUCUGCUGCACAGCUCAGUGUAUAUAAUCGACUUAAUGGUCUGGUUACCUCGGAGAUUUGGGAUAACAAAUGCAAGAGCCUGUCUUUUCUUGUUAUUGCUCUUUGGUUUUCAAAUUUUCAUGUCUUUUCUCCUUCGGUUCUCAAGGACAAUUUUACCCCAUCUGUCAGGAAUUCGAUAUUGUUUGAUCUACUUGUAUUAGAAUUUGAUUUAGUCUGAACUCAUCAGCUGGACAAUCUAGCAUCACUGCAUAUCAGCCUAUAAACCCAGCUAUGAACUCCUUUAUAAUGCUGUAAAUCCUUGUUGUCACUGGAGCAUAAGUGGACCACCUGACUAUGAUAAUGCGACAUCCUUUCAGAGACCACCAGGUGAAUUGCCCGCGCAAUGCCUCGGAUUCUAACAAGAAAGAAGGUGAUAGAAUAAAAUGAAAAAUUAUGGUUGCAAUACCAGCACAUCAGUAUUUGUAACUGAUACAACAAAAUAAGCCGUAAGGAACGAAAGCGAAACAUCUGCAAGUGCUUAGUGAAGGAAUCUGGUGUUGGAACAGCAGGGGCUACACGAAGAACUGCCAAAAAGAAGAAGAAAGAAAGAGCAUGAAAUCCUGACGGAGCUGCUCGAAAACUUCAUCUACUACACUGUUUCUUCAUUAGCUCUCUCUCUCUCCUUUUUUUGGCACACAAGUCAGCCAAUGUCUUGCGGAAGCUAAAGUCUUUGGAAUAUACUUACACAUAUAAAACUAUAUUGUGAUAAACUUUCAAGUUAAUCAAAGUUCACAAACAUAUUAUUUAAAUUAGUUGAAGUUGUUUGUUAUUAUUUUGAUAGAUUUGCCACCGAAGUGUUAUUUUUUGGAUAUUUUCGAUCUAAUCAAUUUAGACUUAUAAUGGAUUAAUUUUGGAUAGCAAAAGGAAAUUAAAUAAGGCUUAUUUAGACUUUAAACUUGUGCAUAAGCUUGGGCUAUAAAGGUUUUUAAUGUGGUUUAUAACUUUAUAUUCAUUGAAGAAUUAGAAUACAUACUUUGCAAGGAUUUCAAGUUCCACAUGGACUUGACGUGGUAGCAUUUAAGGGGAUCUUUCUCUUGUAUUUCUUUUUCUUAUCUUGCAGGUAUUUCUAGUACAUUAAAAAGACUAAAAUGAAGCGAUAUAAGAAAGAAAAUUCUAGCAAUUAAAACAAAGUUUUAUAAUUGAAUUUCUAUACUAGAAGUUUAAGUCAAAACACCACUCAAGAGAGUUAAAGAUUUUGUCUACAUAAAAGAAUUCUAGUAUGAAGACUUUGUUUUUAUUAUUUUAAUUUAUUUAUUUGAUGUUGAACAAUUAUUUUUAAUUAGGGUUUAUUUUAGUUCAUUAAACAUUGUUUAAGAGUUUAUUUCAUGAUUGAAAUUAUAUUAAUUGCUUCAUAGUUUGGGUUCAUUGACUUGUAACCCAAAAGGGAUCAAUUAAAGUUAUUAAUUUAGAUAAGACUAUAUAAUGUUUUUAGAGCUGUAACUAUUGACAGCUUGGUGAUAAUAAACAUGUAUUUUUUCUUUUUGAAUAUUUAUGAUAAAACAUCCUUUGUUUGCAAGGACAAAGAUCGCUUAUUUAAUUUAUCAAAGAUUAAUUGGUUUUGUGAUGUUAUUCGUAUACUUUAGGUUUUUAGGUAUAUGGUUAUUUAUGAACCCAAGUUCAUUUCAAUAUUUUUGGUUUUAGAUACAUAAUUAUUUUUAUAUCAGAGUUUUAUCAAAUUUAAUUUUUAUUUUUCUAGGUUGUAUUUCAAUUUUGUUCAGGUAGUUUGACAUCAUUAAAAAGCCUGCAUAAAAGUGCUUGAGACAAGUAAAAAUCACCAAAAAAAAAAAACCCAAAAACCUAAGAAAAAUAGAAAAAAGAGCAGAGCCAAAUUAAAAACUGCAAAAAAAUACAUAACACAAGAAAAAAGAAAAAAAGAGCAGAACAAUCAACAGUCCUCAACACACGACAAUGGGAUAAGAAAGAAUAAAAGGAACCUUGGAAGUUGACGACCGAUAAAAGAUAGUAAUUGGAAUCCAAGAAGAGCUAAACUACCGACUAAAAGAGAGAAAAUAGUAAUGAGAUAAAAAAAAAAAAAAAAAAAAAACAGAGAGGAAAUUGCAUAAGAACUUAUCCUCAAUUCUCCCAAAACAUACACAACCCUAAAAAAACCAAAAACUAAACUGAAAAUCAGACGUGAUUGUUAUGGCAGACAUGGCAACUCAUCCUAUAAUGAAUUGACAUAGCAUGGCGAGGAUGUCCUCUACAGAAACUAAAAAAACAAAGCAAAACCACACCUACCUACAUGAAGACCAUACCUAGACAUGUCUUGAUGUACAGUACUGGAUUCACCCUUCUCUUUUUCCAUGUUCUAUAAGCUAACACGAUUUGGAGUUCAAGAAAGCGCACACCUUUCUCCCUCUCUUGAUCUCGAGUCUCAUAUACCAGCUUAAUAUUUUUCUGCUUAGACUUUCAUGGAAAAAGUGUACCGAUGUUGACUUUCGUUCAUUAUUGAUGCCCUUCGUUCAUCACAGCUCUUGCAUUCUUUUAUGCAGGCAUGGUACAUCCUUUGAUGCUUUUUAUACAAGGAGGAUGGCCUUGAUUAAUCUUUUCCUUCUAAUAUUCGAAGAAUGAUUUCAGCCUCUGAAUAUUUAUGUCAACCCAGGUGCCAUUCAUGUUUGAAACUAACAAUUUGCUCUUGACACGGGAUAAUUAACUAGCUUGGUAUAGAUUGCUCCUUAAUUACUUUUGGAAAAAUGGCUUUCACUCUGCUAUUCACCUGAUCACACCUUGCUUUUUAUGAGGCUCUACAGACUCUUUUGCUGGCAUCCACUGCCUCUAUAUGUGUUUUAGCUCACCUUAUAAGCACUUUCUUAAUUUCCUGAGCUUUCUUUUGAGAUUGUUUAACAUAUCAAACGCUGGAAAAUGGCAAUAUAUAUCAGCAUAGCACAGUUAAGUUUAACAUCUGCAAUUAAUUACUAUGUUUUCAUGUUUUUGUUAUUUUUAUAUGUAAAAAACACUCCUAAAACUCAUACGCAAAGUUCAUCACGAUGAAAAUAAGCGCACAACGAAAAUCAGGCACGCACAUGCAAAUCUCACCAAAAAACAAAUUGAUAAUUUUAAAACAACAUCAACACAUUAAAGAAUCCUGGGAUGUUGAAAUAGAUGUGAGGAAACCUUGGAAAUUUUUUGGGAAUUUCUGUAAUUGGAGAAACUCGUGGUUCAUGGGAGUGAAGAGCUGUUGCACAGCUGCCGUCCUGGAGAAGCUUAUUGCAGAAGCUAAUGUCUUCAGGUCUGUGAUCAAGGCUCAAAUGAAGGGAUUCUUUUAUGAAAUUUUCCUGAGGUUAUCUCCAGCACGUGAGGAAGCUUAGGUAGAAAUUUCGGAAUUAUUGAAGCUGAGUAAGGUUGUGUUUUCAGGUGUCAAUGUCACUGGUUCUGUCACUUCCUGGCCGCGCUCGUUCCUCUCCGUUUAUCUUUUCAUUUCAUGGUUUCCUACUCAUCCGACUACAUAAUAUGCCUUCCUUGUAUUUUUUCUUCUUUUUACUUUAGUCCCUCUCUUUCUUCUUCUUUCAUCCACUUUGCUCACAACAUUUUUGUUUUCCCUUGUUUUUGUUCUUUUUCUAUUUUUUUAAUUUCUGUUUUUUUUUAACUUUUAAUUUUUUUUGUUUUUGUAAAUAUGAAAAAACAGGCAAAUGGAUUGAGAAUAAUUGGCCGAAUCUUGUUUGUUUUUUUUUUUUUUUGCAUUUUUUGAAAUCAUAUUGAAAAACAGUGUAGAAGACAAUGUUUUUCAAUUGAUGAUUGGUGAGGGUUGUUGAUUUUUUAUUUUUUAAAAGUAUUUUUGAUAAAAUUUAUUUAUUUAUUAUUUUAAAUUAAAUUGUUAUUUAUGUUUUUAAAUAUUUUAAUGGGUUGAUAUAAAAAUAAUUAAAAAAUUAUUAUUUUAAUAUAUUUUUAAAUAAAAUAUAUUUUAAAACCUACUACAAUAUCAAAUAUGAUUAUCAAUUUGUCUUUAUAUAUAAGAGAGGGAAUCUUCUCCCUCUUACUAUUUAUUUUUCUGAUUUUUUUUUUCAAACUUUAGCCAACAACUUUGCUUGUCUCCUCAUUUUUUUUCAUGGUAGGUGGAGUUGGUUGUCUUUUUAAUUUUUUUUUUUGUAUUGGGAUCAAAAGAUGGCUGGCUUUUAUUUGUCAAUGAGAGAGGGAGAGAGAGAGGGACUUGUUUUUGUCAUUGAAAAUUAAAGGAGUAGAGAGUCUGUCAUUGAAAAAUAAUAAUAAAAAAACAGCUGUUUUGAGGGGUGUUUUCUAAUGUUUUAAAAGUAUUUUUAGUUUGAAAAAAUAUUAAAUUGAUAUUUUUUAUUAUUUUAAUAUAUUAAUUUUUAAAAUAAAAAAAAUCUAAAAGCAAUUAUUAUAAAACAUUUUAUAUAAAAACAUUAUUUAAAAAAAUACCCUGCACAACAUUCUCAAAUAUUCUAAAGUAAUAUUUGUUUUUGUGAUGGCAUUAUAAUUUUUUAAAAAUUAAAUGUUUUUAAUAUAAAUUAAUAUAUUUUAGUAUUUUUGGAUCAUAUUUUGAUUUCCUAUGUCUCGAAAAUUAAAAAAUUAUAAUUUUAAUAAUUUUUAAGUAAAAAAUAAUUUAAAAUUAUUAUAAUAAAAAACAAUAUCUUAAUGUUGAAAAAGGAUGGAUGUUGUUGUUUCUCAAUUAUUUCUCCUCCCUCAAUUAUUUCAUGUCACUCCCUCCAUCAUUUUUUCAAAGUCUUCCUUUUUUUGUCUUUCUAGAUUUUCUGUCCCCCUCCUUUCGCUUUCGGUUGUUACUCAAAAGAAAAUGGCUCCUCCUUUGGAUAAUUCUUUGAGUGUGUUUAGCACUACGUUUAUGAAAAAAAAUUUAAUUUAUUAGUUUAUUUAUAUUUUUAGAUUAUUUUAAUAUAAUAAUAUUAAAAAUAAUUUUUUUAAAAAUAUAUUAUUUUAAAAUAUUUUACAAAGAACAAAAUAUUUUAAUACAUAACUUUUAACACGCUUACAAGCAACCAUUUACCUUCUGCUUUCUCAAUCAUUUCCACGUGCCAAAGUCCUGAGCUGUUAAGUACACUGAUUACAUAUAGUCUAUGUAAGUACGUGCACGUGCCAGCUAACACUAACUAAAUGUACUUGCACUUAGUGCGUUUAUCAUUUGUCUUUUCUUUUAAUUUUGAUUUAUAUUGAAAAAUAACAUCAAUAUUAAUUUAAUAAAAAAACAAAAAUCAAAAUUAUGUUGAUUAAAUUUUUUAUUUUCAAAUUUUUUUUGAAUAUCUUUCAAUCUGGUUAGCUUAUAUAAUUCAUUACCCGAGAUGUAAAUAAGCUAUUAUAAAUGAGUUAGGUUUAAUAAAUUUACAUUAAAUUGCAUUUAAAGAGCCUUAUGGGAAUGUUAUAAAUUUUGUUUUUAAUUCUUUAUUUGAUAAUAUAUCAAUUUUUUUUAUAUUAAUAUAUUAAAAUAAUUUAAAAAUAUUAAAAAAAUAAUAAUUUUAAAAUAAAAAAAAGUUUUAAAAAAUUCCAAAAAUCGUAAAGCAGGGGCCAUAUACGGGGUAUUAUUAAGAUUUUCCCAACACAUUAAUAUGGAUUAUGAUUUGCACAAAAAUUAAUCAACCGAUUGACGACCUGUCGUUUUACCCUCACCAGCUUCUUUAGUUGUCUCCCCUCCGCUCCAGUGGGUGGUGCUAGGGUGUCGUCUCCUACUUCAAUGGAGGAGAAGAUUUGCAGCGAGUUGAAACUCGAUAAGUUAAGGCAACAAAGCCUCAACCGAAGUCUCAAUGAAAUUCACGAGCCUCUUCCAUUCUCUCCCUCACUCUUCAAUGGAAAGAUAUCGAAACUCACUUCGAGUCCACUUUCAAUUCCAUCGAAGACUCCGCCAAAGCGCUUCGCACGAAGGAACGGCAACUGGAGGCGAGAGAGAAGGAAUUUGAAUCGAAGGAGAAGGAGUUUGAGGAACGGUGCGAAGAGUUUAUAAAGUUGAGAGAUGCGGAGAUUGAGGAGCAUUAUAAAGAGAUUGAGUUGAAGGAGAAGGAUUUUGAGGAACGGCGUAGAGAGGUUGACUUGGAGAGGAAGCGGUUGGAGGUGAGGCGGAAGGAAGUCGAAGAGAGGGAGGAGUUGGUGGGAAAGAAGUUUGUUGGAGAGAUUGAGUUGAAGGAGAAGAAAAUCGAGGAAAGGCGAAAGGAAAUUGAAGUGGAAAGGAAGAAGCUUGUUGAAGGGAUAAUGUUGAAGGAGAAGAAAAUUGAGGAAAGGCGAAAGCAAAUUGAAGUGGAAAGGAAGAAGCUUGUUGAAGGGAUAAUGUUGAAGGAGAAGAAAAUCGAGGAAAGGCGAAAGGAAAUUGAAGUGGAAAGGAAGAAGCUUGUUGAAGAGUUUGAGUUGAAGGAGAAGCAACUGAAUGAAGGGCGCAGGGAAGUUGCAUGGGUGAAGUUGAAGGUUGGGGAACAACUUAAGGAGUGUGAAUUGAAGGAGAGACGGCUUGAGGAUAGGGCUUUGGAGAUUGAAUUGGCGAGGAAGAGAAAUGUGGAGUUUUUUGAAGAGCUUAAAUUGAAGCAAAAGGAAGUUGAAUCGGAGGACAUGAAAAACAAGAAGUUUAUAGAGGAGUUUGAAUUGAAAGAGAAACAAUUUGAUGAAAGGUGCAAGGAAGUUGAAUCGGAGAGAAAGAAGUUUGUUGAAAAGCUUGAAUUGAAGGAGAAGCAACUUCUGGAGCAGCAGAAAGAAGUUGAAUUGGAAAACAAGAAAAUUAAGAAGUUUUUUGAAGAGCUUGAGUCGAAAGAAAUAAAUUUUGGGCAGAAAGUCAGAGAAAGGUAUGAUGAAAUUGAGUUGAAGGAGAAGAAAGUCGAGGAAGAGUUGAGAGAAGUUGCAUUGAGAGAAGAGAGGGUGGAGAAGAGAUUUAGAGGGGUUGAAGAGAAGGAGAGGAGGGUUAGAGAGCUGUUUAAGGAAGUUAGGGUGAAAGAUGAUGAGUUUAGGGAAUGGAGAAAAGGGGUUGAGUUGAAAGAGAAGGAACUUGAGAUGAAAGGUAGGGAGGUCGAGGAGAGGAUUAAAGAGAUUGGAUUGAAAGAUAGGAUGGUUGAGGAGAGGAUUAAAGAGAUUGGAUUGAAAGGCAGGGAGGUUGAGGAGAGGGUUAAAGAGAUUGAAUCGAUGGAGAAGAAUGUUAGCAAAAGGAGCGAGGAAGUUGAAUUGGAUAGGAGAAAAUUAGAGGAAGGAUUUAGAGAACUUGAGUUGAAAAGCAGGGAGGUUGAGGAGAUAAUUAAAGGGGUUGAGUUGAAGGAGAAGGAAUUGGAGGAACGGUGUCUGAGGUUUGAUUUGAAAGGGAAGCAAAUUGAAGAGGUUCAGUUGAAGGAACUAGAAGAGAGGUUACGGGAAGUUGAAAUGGAAAAUAAGAAGCGCUUGGAGCGAAUUAAGGAGUUUGAGUUGAAGGAGAAACAAGUUGCUGAUGCUUGUAAUGCCCGUGUGAAGUCGGAGACCGUAGAUUAUUCUAUAGAUGCCAACCUACAUUUUUCAGUGAAAAUGGAUGGAAAGGCAUUGCAAAUGUUUUUAAAUAAGCGUUGUAAACAUGAUGAGAAGAUGAAGAACGAGGUAUCUAUUGCUUUGGGACUUUCCUCGGAUCCUGCAAAGCUGGUUUUGGAUGCAAUGGAAGGGUUUUACCCGCCCCAUUUGAGGGAGGGUGAUGUGGAGUUCAACGAGCUUGUUGUGAAAAGAAGUUGCAAUCUUUUGCUUGAGCAAUUAAUGAAAAUAUCCCCAACAAUCAAACCCCAUGUGAGAGAAGAAGCAACGAAACUUGCCUUUCUUUGGAUGACAAAGAUGACAGUGGAUGAUCAGCACAAUUUAGAUGUUUUGGGAUUUUUUUAUCUCUUGGCUGCUUAUGGACUGGCCUCUGCCUUUGAUUCAGAUGAGCUCAUAAGCCGUUUGGUGAUUAUUGCUCGAAAUAGGGAGAUUCCUGAAUUCUUGCGUGUCCUUGAACUAGGAGAUAAAAUUCCUGGUAAGUUUCUAAUCCUUGUGCUCAGUAUGAUUUUUUUGCUUUCUUCUGUGUCUAUAAUCUAGUAAUCCUUUUUCUUCCCUACCAUGCUAUUAAUGAAUUAUAACUAUUCUAUAUUUGGUAUUGGCAGAAACUUGUAUGUGAUUAAAUUUAUAGUUUAUUUCACAUCUCAAGAUUCUGUUAUGUAAAUACAAGAUAGUGGAAAAUUAUGGAAAUGCUUAAAAAUGUUGGUCGUUUUUGGAAGCUUUCUUUGGUGGCAAGUCAAUGAAUCCUUUGUUGAAUGGAGAAUGCACUGUAUACCCUGUGUUUGGAGCAGAAAUGUAUGUAACUGGAAUUAAAGGCCUAUUUGAGUGCUUAUAGUCAUUUGUUACGGUGUUGUCAAGAGUAGUAAAGGUCAAGGAUAAUCUUCUGCUAGUGCUAGCAUCACCUGUCAAUUUUUAAGCAUCGUAUAGCCAAAUUAGGCUUGGGAAAUCCGCUUAAAUCCAUGGCUUGAAGCACACCAGUUUUUCCUUCCAACUUAGCCAUUGAUUUCCUUAAUGCCUGGUGAAAAUUAAUUGAUUCGAUUCUCAAUCAAUUAUUUUUUUCAUUUGAAAUAUCUACUGGAGCGUGAUAGAAUUUGUAACUAUUCUUUUGCAUGCUUAUAACAGGUUUUAUUGAAAAUCUUAUCGUGAAGAAACAGCACAUGGAAGCUAUCAGAUUCAUUUGUGCAUUUGAGAUGGUUAAUCAGUUCCCACCCGGACCUAUCUUGAGGGAUUACUUAAGUGGUUCCAAGAGUGCAGCCAAAAAAAUUAGGAGGAGGAAUUCAAUUGAAGGACUGGUAUGUUUUGCUGGUUUUCUCCUUCAAUAAGUCAUCUCUUCUCUUGCGUAUGAUCCAACUGUUAAUAUAUUCUCACACUUAAAACUUGCUAGCAGGUUGAGUCUGUAAACAGAAGAGUAGCUGACCUAAUGGUUGUACUGAAAUGCGUUGAAGAUUACAAGCUUGAAACUGUAUUCUCACCAGAUAUCCUCAAGCGACAAAUUAUAGAUGUCCGAAGACAACUUUCAAUUAGGGAAACAAAGUUACCAAACCUGGGCAGCAAUUCUCCUCAGCCUAAUCUGAGUGAGAACAAACGUUUGGCCCGAAAUGCUGCUGCUUCUGCCUCUGUCCUGUCGUCCAAAUCUGUCUCUGUCUCUGCCACUAAACCUGCUCUCAAAUCAACGAUGGCUGCCUGUACUGCUACCUCAGCUGCUCCCAUUACAUUCACCUCCUACAUUGCUUCCCCAGUCACAGUCACCUCUCUUGCCCCAAUGCCUGCCUUUAUUGCUAAUCCAGUCGUCCCUAUCAUUGUUACUUCUCCCUCCACAACAGCCGCUGUUGCCUCUCCCGCCUCUACUGCAUCCAUUACCCAAAGUACAGUUGUCUCCCCCUCCUCAAGCAGUGCAUCACCUUCUGGCUCAAUCCCCAAGACUGAACCAAAAUACCAGGGCUGUCAAGCAGAGUACCAGGGCGGAAAUAAACGCUGUCAAGCACAGUACCUGGGAAGUGAUAAGCACCCGCACCCUCAAGAACAACACCAGAGUGGAAAUAAGCGCCCUCGGAUUGCUAAAUCAUCAGAGGUUCCUCUAAGAGCACCAUUACUUCAAAACACUGGCAUUGCACACCCGGUGCCUGUCCCUCAUCUGCGAGCAGGUCCUUUUAUAAAUCAAAGGGCACCAUAUUUGAACCCAUCUGGCCGACACUACAAUUGUGCUGGUUAUGGCCCACCAAACCCACAGAUGAGCUCCCAUUAUAAUUAUGGAUAUCCAUAUUAUCAUUAGAACACAUUUGGAAAACCUGGCUAUGACGGUGCUGCCCCCCUUCUGCGGCCAUAGAAUGUUUAAACUUUUUGCAGGUGUGGUUCCACAUAAUGUUAAUACUUAUUUUUUGCCUUGUAUGGUAGUCUUAUCUGCUGCAUAGCUUGGUGUAUAUAAUCGACUUAAUGGUCUGGUUACCUCGGAGAUUUGGGAUCACAAAUGCAAGAGCCUGUCUUUUCUUGUUAUUGUUCUUUAGUUUUCAAAUUUUCAUGUCUUUUCUCCUUCGGUUCUCUAGGACAAUCUUACCCCAUCUGUCAGGAAUUCGAUAUUGUUUGAUCUACUUGUAUUAGAAUUUGAUUUAGUCUGAGCUCAUCAGCUGGACAAUCUAGCAUCACUGCAUAUCAGCCUAUAAACCCAGCUAUGAACUCCUUUAUAAUGCUGUAAAUCCUUGUUGUCAUUGGAGCAUACAUGGACCACCUGACUAUGAUAAUGCGACAUCCUUUCAGAGACCACCAGGUGAAUUGCCCGCGCAAUGCCUCGGAUUCUAACAAGAAAGAAGGUGAUAGAAUAAAAUGAAAAAAAUAAUAAUAAUAAAUUGGCAAGCAUUGAGAUUAAACUGAGCGGCCAUACGGAGUAGGCUAUUAGCACGAUGUCUUAACAAUUCAAAAAAGGUGGAGAAUCAAGCAUCUCGGGUGCUAAUUAUGGUUGCAAUACCAGCACAUCAGUAUUUGUAACUGAUACAACAAAAUAAGCCGUAAGGAACGAAAGCGAAACAUCUGCAACUGGUUAGUGAAGGAAUCUGAUGUUGGAACAGCAGGGGCUACACGAAGAACUGCCAAAAAGAAGAAGAAAGAAAGAGCAUGAAAUCCUGACGGAGCUGCUCGAAAACUUCAUCUACGACACAGUUUCUUCAUUAGCUCUCUCACUCUCCUGUUUUUCGCACACAAGUUGGACAAAGUCUUCAGAAGCUGAAGUCUUUGCUCGAAGAAAGUCCUAUAGAAUCAAAUAAUUAACCUCCUCCAUUGAGCAGACAUCAAACUCAGGUAAAGAGAAGAAAACUGAUGGGAAAGUCAAGAAAAAAUACCAAUCAAAUGAUAUUCCAGUUGAAAGAAGUUGAAAAAAAGUGAAAUGUAAGGAAAAAAGGAAAAAGAAUAAAGCAGCAGCCGCACCAGUCUAACAAAAUACAAAGAGUGAAUCCACAGGUCGAGGAACCAAAACACAGACAAACAAACUUCACAAUGCAACCAAAGGCGCAGUGCGGAAACUAUAACACUUCUCUCACUUAGCUGAAGAUAUUCUGCUCAUAGACAGUCCUGAUGCAUUUCAAAACCUGCAAUGCAUCAGCAAGUCAACUGAAAGGAAUGACAGAAAAAAACUUGUUGCAUGAAUCAAGUCUAGCAUCAAUGCGGACAGACUAAAAAACGAAACUAAAAUGGCAUCAAGUCUGGAAGAUAGAAUCAUAUUGAUGCAGGCCCCAAAAACAAAACCCGACUAAUCCGGGAAUAGGAUUCUGGGUUGGACAAUCAGUUAAUCAUUUGAUCCUAACAAUCUCAUAACAAUCAGUUAAUCUUUGAACCUUAUGAAUCCUUUUUUUUUAUAACCAAUAACCAUAGCCCACAUUACUGCAUGUAGAAAUCCUUUUUAAUCAAACAAGCAAGUGACUCGGAAAAAUAAAUAGUGCUCUCAAAAUACAAAGAGUAUUUUUUCAUAAGAAUCAUGAUAUUGAAAACAAACUACUCAUUAUUAUUCAUACUGAUAAAAUGAAUGUUCGAAAAGAGACAAAUUCUUUUCAAACAAAACUUAGAGUUUUCUCUCGAGCUUUCCGCUUUGAAACCCACAAAAACAUAAGGUCACCUCAUGAUGUACCUUCACCUCCUUUCCAAGAAAAAUAACAUGGGAGUUACAUGAUUCAUUCUAAACAAAUAUUCCUUCACUAAAACUAAAAAAAAUUAAAGGAAAGAAGGGUUAAUCAGAAUUAUUAUUUGUUUGAGUCACUGACAAAGCACACUUAGGGACAAUGAUCAAUAUAAGAGGGCAAUAUUGUACUUAGAAGGGGAUUUGAUCUAUUUGGGUAAUGGAAAAAAAAAAAAGGAAAGGAAAUUUCUUUCAACGAGACAAAAUGGGCAUUCUUGCUUACAAAAUAUCGUUUGGUCCUUUCAACGAGUAACACUGAAUGUUGUUAGCAGUGAGACAAUGAAUUAAUGAAUGAUUUUCUCAAAUUGAUCAACAAGACAAAUAAUUUCCAGUGAGUAAAUAGGUCACGAUGGACAUGAUAAAAACUGAGAUGAGUAAUAUUGCAAAUAUUCUGGAAAAGACUUAUAUAAGCCAACUCAAGUGAACUAAAAGUCAAGCGACCAAGAGGGCUCAAAUCAGAAUUAGCAAAACCUCAUCAAUUAUGCAACAAAGAAGGUUUAGAUGAAAUGAGGGCUUAUAUUUUCAAUCAUGAAAAGGUGUAUACAUAUCAUCUAAAACUUUGAGCAAUGUGUUUUGUAAAGAUACAUAACAGAAAUCCCUAAUGAGAUCCAUCAAAAGAAAUGAUAUCUCGAAGUAGCCAAGAAUUGAAAAUACUUUUGAAAUUUUUUACUUUUGAGAAAUUUUUAACCUGAUGAGGUCACUUAUUACAAUGAGAUCAUUUUUAAAAAAUCUUUAUAUUUUUCCACCUGGGUAUGUCACCAAUUACAAUGAAACUAUUUCUGAAAAUCUCUUAUAUUUUUGCAUCUAGGUAGGUCACCCAUUACAAUGAAACUAUUUUUGAAAGUCUCUUAUAUUUUUGCACCUGGGUAGGUCACCCAUUACAAUGAAAUUAUUUUUUAAAAAAUCUUUGUAUUCUUCACCUGGAUAGGUCACCCAUUACAAUGACACUAUUUCUAAAAAAAUCUUUGUAUUUUUUCACCUGGAUGGGUCAUCCAUUACAAUGAGACCGUUUUUUUUUUUCUUAAAUUAGUAUAAUUGUUUCAAAACGGUCUCAUUGUAAUGGAUGACCGUUUUGAAAUUAGUCAUUUGAAAGGUAAUUUUUACCAUGAAUAGAUCACCCAUUACAAUGAGAUAACUUUUAAAAAAUCCUUAUAUUUUUCACCAUCUGGUAGGUCACCUAAAACUAUUAGAUUACUUUAGAAAAAUCCUUGUAUUUUUCACCAUCAAGUUGGUCGUUUGGAGCAAUUAAACCACUUUUAAAAAAUUAUUGUAUUUUUCAUCAUUGAACAGGUCGUCUGGAAUAAUUAAACUACUUUCAAAAAAUCUUUGUAUUUUUCACCAACAGGCAGGUUAGUUGCAACAAUUAGAUCACUUUCAAAAAAAUCCUUCUAUUUUUCACCAACUAGUAGGUUGCUUAGAACAAUUAGACCAUUAAAAAAAAAUCUUUAUAUUUUUCACCAUUAGGCAAGUUGUCUGGAACAAUUAGACUAUUUAAAAAAAAAAAAUCAUUGACAAGGAAAGUUACCUUUCAAAUGACUAAUUUCUAAUUUCUCAAUUUUAAAUUGUUCAAUGUAUUUGCAUCAUAAAUAUUAUAAAAAAGUGACAACUGUCAUAACUCAAUUUUUUAUUCUUUUUAUUUUUUAUUUUAUUUUUUUAAUAAAAAUAAUAAAAAAAUGAUGAAGAGUAAAUUGAAAUUUGGGUCAAGACAACAUAAAUUGAAAGUCUAGGGGCUUAAUUAAACUUUUGAUUAGUUUAAUUAAUCAAAUCAAGAGUUUAAUUGAUUUUUUCAGGGGUAAUUUUGAAAAAAUUAAAAGUUGAAGAGCCAAUUAAGGACUGGAUUGAUUAAAUUGAAAACUAUGGACUGUUUUGUAAAUGGCGCCAAAAUCCAGGUGUUCAAUUGCAAUUAAUCUAGGGGCAAAAUUAAAAAUAGAUUUUUCUUGAAUAAGGGCCCAAUUGUUAAAUGUCAUAAGUUCAGGAGGGCAAGUUUUAAAUAGCUAUUGCAGAGUAGAAGACGACGCCGUUUCAAAAACUAUUCAUCGCCUUCUUCCUAGGAACCGUUUCAGCAGUAAAGGCACCAAAACCGUUUCACGGACCAAGUCUCCCAGCUGCUAUCCCUCGCCUCCACGAUGCACGAACGCUUGGCAUUCUCUGGCUAUAAAAGCAAGAGAAGAGAAGAGAAUGGUGGAGAAAAAAAAACACGAAAGAAACUGAGGGAAGAAGGGAGAAAACUGAGAAGAACGAAAACACAGGGACAAAGGGAGUGAAAGAGAGAACAGGGACGAACAGAGGAAACCUGGGAACAGAGACGCGAAGGAGAAAGACAGAGGCACAAAACAGAAGGAAACCAAGGAGGAGCAAAUACAGGGAGAGAGGAAGGCCGAAAAAAACCAGUAGAGAGAGAAGCAAACAAACAGAAAUAGGGACAGAAACGAAGAGGGAGAAGGACCAGAGAACACGAACAGAGAAAACAGAGCCGAAGAAAAGAACAACCAGAGGGAAAACAAGCGGAAAGAGGAACAGAGCGAGCAUCGUCCAAUACACCAUCAUCUUCAGCUACGCAGGUAAGCUUUCGUUUUCCCUCCCCUUAGAAAUAUAAUUACCCUGUCACUGUGCACGUGCACGUGCCAGCUGACACUAAAUAUACUUGCACUUAGUGUGUUAGCCGUUAUCAUUUAUCUUUUCUUUUAAUUAGAAUUUGGAAUAAACAUGUUAAUUGUUGAACGAGUUAAAAGCAAAGCUUUGAAUUUUAAAUUUUUCAAAAAAACUUUGAUAAUCAUGAAAAUGAUGAGAAUGCAUUAAAAUUAUAUUUUUUUUGAAAUUAUAUUUUAAAAUAUAUUUAAAAUUACAAAAAGGGCAUGACGGCGUCAUAGACACUUUUUUUAAAAAAAAAAAAUUGGUGUUUUUUUUUAAUAAAAAAAACUCUUAGAAAAAGGGAUCAAAAUUGGUUACCUCAAAGUUCAAUAAAACAUGAAUCCUAUGUUAAUGCUGUGGCAUGGAUUUUAUGACUUUCAACCUUCAGUUUCGAAUAACUUAACAAACCAUGGAUUUUAUGUCGAUAUAUGAUUUAAUGAACAAACACUUUUGAGAUUUUAAAUGAUAUGACAAAUACAUAUAGCAUGAGAAAUAAAGAAAUUUAAAACAAGUUUAUGUAAAACAUAAAUGAUAAGCUAAAAGUGCUAAAUAAUAUGAUAUAUAUAUAUGUUGUGCAUGAAUUGUUUGAUUAUAUAUGGCAACUUAAUUUAUUAUUUAUUUUUAAAUUUGAUGUUAUAUAUAGUAUAAUAAUAAUCACACAUAUUAAAGAAUAAUAUAAAUUAUAUCUUAAAAUUUCAGUUUAAAUUUUUAAAUUGAGAUGAUUCUUUAAUAAUAUAUUAAGUUUUUUUUAUCACAAGUUUAAAUCUCAUCAUUUUCCAUAUAAGUUUUAAAUUCAAAUUAUUUUUAUUUAAAUAAAUAUUUUAAAGAAUAAUAUAAAUUAUAUCUCAAGAAUACAAUUAAUAAUUUAAAUUUUUAAACAAAAAUAUAAAGCAUAUAGGUUGCAUGGAAAAGACAACGGUCUAAGAUUGUAUUUCGCCAAGUUUUAAAUAAAAUCAACUUGAAGAAUUUGACAAUUUAACUUUUUAUAAGGUCUAUAAUCUAGUUUAUUUUCUAUAUAUAUAAAAAAUUAAAAUCAUCUUGUUUAAACUUUUUAUUUUAAAAAACAUUCAAUCUUUCAAUCUAACUAACUUAUAUAAUUCAUGACUCGAGCUAUAUUAUAAAAUGAGUCAAGUUUAAUUAACUUUACAUGAAAUUAUUUUGAAAGAGUUUGUUUGAAAGUGUUAUAAAUAUUUAUUUUUAAAAUUAUUUUUACUUAGUAAUACAUCUGAUAUUGUUUUUUAUAAAAUUUAUUUUUGAUAUAAAUAUAUUAAAAUAAUUCAAAAAUAUAUUAAAUAUAAUAAUUUAAAACUAAAAAAAUAAAAUUUAAAAAACUUCAAAAAUAGUAUAACAGGUUCCAUAUACGGGAUAUUAUUAAGGUUUUCCCAUCACAUUAAUAGUGAUUAUGAUUUGCUCAAAAACUAAUUAACCAAUUGACGACGACCUGUCGUUUUACCCUCACCAGCUUUUUUGGUGGUCUCCCCUCCGCUCCAGGUAGUGGUGCUAGGGUAUCGUCUCCUACUUCAAUGGAGGAGAAGAUUUGCAGCGAGUUGAAACUCACUAAGUUAAGGCAACAAAGCUUCAACCGAAGUCUCAAUGAAAUUCACGAGCAAGCCUCUUCCAUUCUCUCCCUCACUCUUCAAUGGAAAGAUAUCGAAACUCACUUCGAGUCCACUUUCAAUUCCAUCGAAGACUCCGCCAAAGAGCUUCACACGAAGGAACGGCAACUGGAGGGGAGAGAGAAGGAAGUUGAAUCGAAGGAGAAGGAGUUUGAGGAACGGUGCGAAGAGUUUAUAAAGUUGAGAGAUGCGGAGGUUGAGGAGCAUUAUAAAGAGAUUGAAUUGAAGGAGAAGGAUUUUGAGGAACGACGAAGAGAGGUUGAAUCGGAGAGGAAGCGGUUGGAGGAGAGGCGGAAGGAAGUCGAAGAGAGGGAGGAGUUGGUGAGAAAGAAGUUUGUUGAAGGGAUUGAGUUGAAGGAGAAGGAAAUUGAAGUGGAAAGGAAGAAGCUUGUUGAAAGGAUUGAGUUGAAGGAGAAGAAAAUUGAGGAAAGGCAAAAGGAAAUUGAAGUGGAAAGGAAGAAGCUUGUUGAAAGGAUUGAGUUGAAGGAGAAGAAAAUUGAGGAAAGGCAAAUGGAAAUUGAAGUGGAAAGGAAGAAGCUUGUAGAAGGGUUUGAGUUGAAGGAGAAGAAAAUCGAGGAAAGGCAAAAGGAAAUUGAAGUGGAAAGGAAGAAGCUUGUCGAAGGGUUUGAGUUGAAGGAGAAGAAAAUCGAGGAAAGGCAAAAGGAAACUGAAGUGGAAAGGAAGAAGCUUGUCGAAGAGUUUGAGUUGAAGGAGAAGCAACUGAAUGAAGGGCCCAGGGAAGUUGCAUGGGUGAAGUUGAAGGUUGGGGAACAACUUAAGGAGUGUGAAUUGAAGGAGAGACGGCUUGAGGAUAGGGCUUUGGAGAUUGAAUUGGUGAGGAAGAGAAAUGUGGAGUUUUUUGAAGAGCUUAAAUUGAAGCAAAAGGAAGUUGAAUCGGAGGACAUGAAAAACAAGAAGUUUAUAGAGGAGUUUGAAUUGAAAGAGAAACAAUUUGAUGAAAGGUGCAAGGAAGUUGAAUCGGAGAGAAAGAAGUUUGUUGAAAAGCUUGAAUUGAAGGAGAAGCAACUUCUGGAGCAGCAGAAAGAAGUUGAAUUGGAAAACAAGAAAAUUAAGAAGUUUUUUGAAGAGCUUGAGUCGAAGGAGAAGCAAGUUGAAGAAAGGCGCCUGGUAGCUGAAUUGGGGAAUAAAAAGUAUGUUGAAGAGGUUGAAUUGAAGGAAAAGCAACUUGAAGAGCGGUGUACGGUAGUGGAGUCGGAAAAGAAGAAACUUGAGGAACAGUCCAAGGAGAUUGAACUGAAGGAGAAACAUCUUGAAGAGCAGUUGAAAGAAGUUGAAUCAGCAAACAAGAGGUUUUUCGAACAAGCUAAAGAGCUUGAGUUGAAGGAGAAGCACCUCCUGGAGGGGUUUAAGGAACUUGAAAUGGAAAAUUUGGUUAAGUUGAAAGAAGAGAACUCUAAGGAGUGGAGAAGAGAGCUUGAGUUGAAAGAGAUAAAUUUUGGGCAGCAAGUUAGAGAAAGGUAUGAUGAAAUUGAGUUGAAGGAGAAGAAAGUGGAGGAAGAGUUUAGAGAAGUUGCAUUGAGAGAAGAGAGGGCGGAGAAGAGAUUUAGAGAGGUUGAAGAGAAGGAGAGGAGGGUUAGAGAGCUGUUUAAGGAAGUUAGGGUGAAAGAUGACGAGUUUAGGGAACGGAGAAAAGGGGUUGAGUUGAAAGGUAGAGAGGUUGAGGAGAGGAUUAAAGAGAUUGGAUUGAAAAGAAGGUUGAGGAGAGGAAGAUGGUGAAGGAUAGAAGGUUGAGGAGGCUUAAGAGAUUGGAUUGAAAGAUAGGAAGGUUGAGGAGGCUUAAAGAGGUUGGAUUGAAAGAUAGGAAGGUUGAGCAGAGGCUUAAAGAUCUUGGAUUGAAAGGCAGGGAGGUUGAGGAGAGGGUUAAAGAGAUUGAAUCGAUGGAGAAGAAUGUUGGCAAAAGGAGCGAGGAAGUUGAAUUGGAUAGGAGAAAAUUAGAGGAAGGAUUUAGAGAACUUGAGUUGAAAAGCAGGGAGGUUGUGGGGAUAAUUAAAGGGGUUGAGUUGAAGGAGAAGGAAUUGGAGGAACGGUGUAGGGGGUUUGAUUUGAAAGGGAAGCAAAUUGAAGAGGUUCAGUUGAAGGAGAAGGAACUAGAAGAGAGGUUACGGGAAGUUGAAAUGGAAAAUAAGAAGUGCUUGGAGCGAAUUAAGGAGUUUGAGUUGAAGGAGAAACAAGUUGCUGAUGCUUGUAAUGCCCGUGUGAAGUCGGAGACCGUAGAUUAUUCUAUGGAUGCUAACCUACAUUUUUCAGUGAAAAUGGAUGGAAAGGCAUUGCAAAUUUUAUUAAAUAAGCGUUGUAAACAUGAUGAGAAGAUGAAGAACGAGGUAUCUAUUGCUUUGGGACUUUCCUUGGAUCCUGCAAAGCUGGUUUUGGAUGCAAUGGAAGGGUUUUACCCGCCCCAUUUGAGGGAGGGUGAUGUGGAGUUCAAAGAGGUUGUUGUGAAAAGAAGUUGCAAUCUUUUGCUUGAGCAAUUAAUGAAAAUAUCCCCAGCAAUCAAACCACAUGUGAGAAAAGAAGCAACGAAACUUGCCUUUCUUUGGAUGACAAAGAUGACAGUGGAUGGUUACCACAAUAUGGAUGUUUCGGGAUUUUUUUAUCUCUUGGCUGCUUAUGGACUGGCCUCUGCUUUUGAUUCAGAUGAGCUCAUAAGCCGUUUGGUGAUUAUUGCUCGAAAUAAGCAGACUCCUGAAUUCUUGCGUGUCCUUGAACUAGGAGAUAAAAUUCCUGGUAAGUUCCUAAUCCUUGUGCUCAGUAUGAUUUUUUUGCUUUCUUCUGUGUCUAUAAUCUAGUAAUCCUUUUUCUUCCCUACCAUGCUAUUAAUGAAUUAUAACUAUUCUAUAUUUGGUAUUGGCAGAAACUUGUAUGUGAUUAAAUUUAUAGUUUAUUUCACAUCUCAAGAUUCUGUUAUGUAAAUACAAGAUAGUGGAAAAUCAUGGAAAUUCUUAAAAAAGUUGGUCGUUUUUGAAGCUUUCUUUGGUGGUAAGUCAAUGAAUCCUGUAUUGCAUGGAGAAUGCACUGUAUACCCUGUGUUUGGAGCUGAAAUGCAUGUAAUUGCAAUGAAAGGCCUAUUUUAGUGUUCAGCUUAUAGUCAUUUGUUACGGUGUUGUCAAGAGUGGUAAAGGUCAAGGAUAAUCUUCUACUAGUGCUAGCAUCACCUGUCAAUUUUUAAGCAUCGUAUAGCCAAAUUAGCCUUGGGAAAUCCAUGGCUUGAAGCACACCAAUUUUUCCUUUCAAUUUAGCCCUUGACUUAUUUAAUGCCUGGUGAAAAUUAAUUGAUUCGAUUCUCUUUCAAUUAUUUUUUUUCAUUUGAAAUAUCUACUGGAGCGUGAUAGAACUUGUAACUAUUCUUUUGCAUGCAUAUAACAGGUUUAAUUCAAAAUCUUAUCUUAAAGAAACAGCCAAUGGAAGCUAUCAGAUUCAUUUAUGCAUUUAAGAUGGUUAAUCAGUUCCCACCCGGACCUAUCUUGAGGGAUUACUUAAGUGGUUCCAAGAUUGCAGCCAGAAAAAUUAAGAAGAGUAGCAAAUCAAUUGAAGGACUGGUAUGUUUUGCUGGCUUUCUCCUUCAAGAUGUCAAUCUCUUCUCUUGUGUAUGAUCCAACUGUUAUUAUAUGCUCACACUUAAAACUUGCUAACAGGUUGAGUCUGUAAAGAGAAGAGUAGCUGACCUAAUAGUUGUACUGAAAUGCGUUGAAGAUUACAAGCUUGAAACUGUAUUCUCACCAAAUAGCCUCAAACAAAUAAAAGAUGUCGAAAGACAACUUUUAAUUAGGAAAACAAAGUUACCAAACCUGGGCAGCAAUUCUCCUCAGCCUAAUCUGAGUGAGAAGAAACGUUUGGCCCCAGGAGCUGCUGCCUCUGCCUCUGUCCUUGCACCCAAAUCUGUCUCUGCCACUAAACCUGCUCUCAAUUCCACGAUGGCCGCCUGUACUGCUACCUCAACUGCUCCCAUCACAGUCACCUCCCUCUCUCCAACUGUUGCCUACGUUGCUUCC